CGGCCGACACUCAGGGAAAAUAGAAAAGAACCUACAUGAAAUAUCGGGGUGAAUUUCCCCCGAUAUCACACGGGCUCUUCUCUCACCUGUCUACCUGCUUAACUGCAUAGGAGAGGCAAUGCAUGGUGCUCAUGAACAAGGCAAGCAUUAAAGUCAGACCAGACUAACAUUUGACUCAGUCUUAAUAUUCAGGACUUGGCUUCAAUGUCACCUUAACUGGAAGCUUCUCUCCCUCUCCAGAAGAGCUUCCCAUUGCACUUGAUGCAUGCACUAUUAUUUGAUCAUUUUUGAGUUACAGUCCAAGUCUUUUUGUACCUGAAUAACAUGUUGCCCAGCCAGUUUCUCUUCCUGGAUUCAGAAGUCUUUCAUGGUAGGUCCAGCUAGAAGUGACAAAAAGACAUUU
Molecule: long non-coding RNA, 403 nt
Filed under: Homo sapiens (human)
Lineage: Eukaryota; Metazoa; Chordata; Mammalia; Primates; Hominidae
Description: HSALNT0298478
Source: RNAcentral